GGGCUUCUUCCGUGUACUUGUUCCAGGAUGGGACUGCGACCGAUCAGGCUGUUGGCGAGGUAAUGGCUCACCAAACCAGUAACCGGUACGGGCCUUGAGAGAGGGGGCCCGGAGAUGGACACUGAGAGAAGGGUCCAGGUCCUACGGGGCGCAGCAGGCGCGAAACCUUCGCAAUGCGCGAAAGCGUGACGAGGUUAAUCCGAGUGGUCCCCGCUGAGGGGAUCUUUUGUCGGCUGUAAAAAGGCCGGUGAAUAAGGGGAGGGCAAGUCUGGUGUCAGCCGCCGCGGUAAUACCAGCUCCUCGAGUGGUCGGGGCGAUUAUUGGGCCUAAAGCAUCCGUAGCCGGUUCCGUAGGUCUUCUGUCAAAUCCAACGGCUCAACCGUUGGCCCGCAGAAGAUACCGCGGGACUAGGAGGCGGGAGAGGUGGGCGGUACUCCACGUGUAGGGGUAAAAUCCUUUGAUCCGUGGAAGA
This 472-nucleotide ribosomal RNA is filed under the name uncultured archaeon. RNAcentral's name for it is "bacterial SSU rRNA". It matches the Rfam family "Archaeal small subunit ribosomal RNA", at positions 175 to 656 of the family's 1478-position model. The record is from RNAcentral.